GACGAACGCUGGCGGCGUGCCUAAUACAUGCAAGUCGAGCGCAGGAAGCUGACGGAACUCUUCGGAGGGAAGGCAGUGGAAUGAGCGGCGGACGGGUGAGUAACACGUAAGGAGCCUGCCUCAAGGAUUGGGAUAACUCCGAGAAAUCGGAGCUAAUACCGGAUAGUUCAACGGACCGCAUGGUCCGCUGAUGAAAGGCGCUCCGGCGUCACCUUGAGAUGGCCUUGCGGUGCAUUAGCUAGUUGGUGGGGUAGCGGCCCACCAAGGCGACGAUGGAUAGCCGACCUGAGAGGGUGAUCGGCCACACUGGGACUGAGACACGGCCCAGACUCCUACGGGAGGCAGCAGUAGGGAAUCUUCCACAAUGGACGAAAGUCUGAUGGAGCAACGCCGCGUGAGUGAUGAAGGUUUUCGGAUCGUAAAACUCUGUUGUAAGGGAAGAACACGUACGAGAGGGAAUGCUCGUACCUUGACGGUACCUUACGAGAAAGCCACGGCUAACUACGUGCCAGCCGCCGCGGUAA
This 524-nucleotide ribosomal RNA is filed under the name uncultured bacterium. RNAcentral describes it as "partial 16S ribosomal RNA". It matches the Rfam family "Bacterial small subunit ribosomal RNA", at positions 28 to 523 of the family's 1533-position model. The record is from RNAcentral.